UACGGGGGGGGCAAGCGUUGUUCGGAAUUACUGGGCGUAAAGGGCGCGUAGGCGGUUUGCUAAGUUGGAUGUGAAAACUCUGGGCUUAACUCAGAGCCUGCAUCCAAAACUGGCAAACUUGAGUACUGGAGGGGAAAGCGGAAUUCCUGGUGUAGCGGUGAAAUGCGUAGAUAUCAGAAGGAACACCGGUGGCGAAGGCGGUUCUCUGGGAAUGUUCUGACGCUGAGGAGCGAAAGUGUGGGGAGCGAACAGG
This 253-nucleotide ribosomal RNA is filed under the name uncultured bacterium. RNAcentral describes it as "partial 16S ribosomal RNA". It matches the Rfam family "Bacterial small subunit ribosomal RNA", at positions 524 to 776 of the family's 1533-position model. The record is from RNAcentral.